RNAcentral lists this ribosomal RNA (500 nucleotides) under fungal sp. TZ-2013. RNAcentral describes it as "eukaryotic LSU rRNA". The stretch from base 144 to 297 matches the Rfam family "5.8S ribosomal RNA". The record is from RNAcentral. Lineage: Eukaryota; Fungi.
CACCCGUGUUUAUUGUACCUUGUUGCUUCGGUGCGCCCGCCUCACGGCCGCCGGGGGGCUUCUGCCCCCGGGCCCGCGCCCACCGAAGACACCAUUGAACUCUGUCUGAAGAUUGCAGUCUGAGCAUAAACUAAAUAAGUUAAAACUUUCAACAACGGAUCUCUUGGUUCCGGCAUCGAUGAAGAACGCAGCGAAAUGCGAUAACUAAUGUGAAUUGCAGAAUUCAGUGAAUCAUCGAGUCUUUGAACGCACAUUGCGCCCCCUGGUAUUCCGGGGGGCAUGCCUGUCCGAGCGUCAUUGCUGCCCUCAAGCACGGCUUGUGUGUUGGGCUCCGUCCCCCCGGGGACGGGCCCGAAAGGCAGCGGCGGCACCGAGUCCGGUCCUCGAGCGUAUGGGGCUUUGUCACCCGCUCUGUAGGCCCGGCCGGCGCCAGCCGACAACCCAUCAUCCUUUUCAGGUUGACCUCGGAUCAGGUAGGGAUACCCGCUGAACUUAAGCAU